This 420-nucleotide ribosomal RNA is filed under the name Bacillus sp. 29A(2010). RNAcentral describes it as "bacterial SSU rRNA". It matches the Rfam family "Bacterial small subunit ribosomal RNA", at positions 272 to 684 of the family's 1533-position model. Lineage: Bacteria; Bacillati; Bacillota; Bacilli; Caryophanales; Bacillaceae. The record is from RNAcentral.
GGCGACGACGGGUAGCCGACCUGAGAGGGUGAUCGGCCACACUGGGACUGAGACACGGCCCAGACUCCUACGGGAGGCAGCAGUAGGGAAUCUUCCGCAAUGGGCGAAAGCCUGACGGAGCAACGCCGCGUGAGUGAUGAAGGUUUUCGGAUCGUAAAGCUCUUUCAGUAGGGAAGAACAAAUGUGUAAGUAACUGUGCACAUCUUGACGGUACCUGAUCAGAAAGCCACGGCUAACUACGUGCCAGCAGCCGCGGUAAUACGUAGGUGGCAAGCGUUAUCCGGAAUUAUUGGGCGUAAAGCGCGCGUAGGCGGUUUUUUAAGUCUGAUGUGAAAGCCCACGGCUCAACCGUGGAGGGUCAUUGGAAACUGGAAAACUUGAGUGCAGAAGAGGAAAGUGGAAUUCCAUGUGUAGCGGUGA